RNAcentral lists this unclassified non-coding RNA (329 nucleotides) under soil metagenome. Its description in RNAcentral is "partial contains 5.8S ribosomal RNA, internal transcribed spacer 2, and large subunit ribosomal RNA". The stretch from base 1 to 120 matches the Rfam family "5.8S ribosomal RNA", at positions 35 to 154 of the family's 154-position model. The record is from RNAcentral.
GAUGAAGAACGCAGUGAAAUGCGAUAAGUAAUGUGAAUCGCAGAAUUCAGUGAAUCAUCGAAUCUUUGAACGCACAUUGCGCCCCUUGGUAUUCCGAGGGGCAUGCCUGUUCGAGCGUCAUUAUAACCCCUCAAGCUCAGCUUGGUGUUGGGGCCUGCUGCACUGGCAGCCCUUAAAAUCAGUGGCGGCGCCAUCUGGCUCUAAGCGUAGUAAUUCUUCUCGCUAUGGAGUCCUGGUGGAUGCUUGCCAUCAACCCCCAAUUUUUCUAUGGUUGACCUCGGAUCAGGUAGGGAUACCCGCUGAACUUAAGCAUAUCAAUAAGCGGAGGA